GGUAUGUAAAGCUCUAUCAGCAGGGAAGAUAAUGACAGUACCUGACUAAGAAGCACCGGCUAAAUACGUGCCAGCAGCCGCGGUAAUACGUAUGGUGCAAGCGUUAUCCGGAUUUACUGGGUGUAAAGGGAGCGCAGGCGGUGCGGCAAGUCUGAUGUGAAAGCCCGGGGCUCAACCCCAGUACUGCAUUGGAAACUGUCGUACUAGAGUGUCGGAGGGGUAAGCGGAAUUCCUAGUGUAGCGGUGAAAUGCGUAGAUAUUAGGAGGAACACCAGUGGCGAAGGCGGCUUACUGGACGAUAACUGACGCUGAGGCUCGAAAGCGUGGGGAGCAAACAGGAUUAGAUACCCUGGUAGUCCACGCCGUAAA
RNAcentral lists this ribosomal RNA (369 nucleotides) under uncultured bacterium. RNAcentral describes it as "bacterial SSU rRNA". It matches the Rfam family "Bacterial small subunit ribosomal RNA", at positions 420 to 806 of the family's 1533-position model. The record is from RNAcentral.